This 497-nucleotide ribosomal RNA is filed under the name uncultured bacterium. RNAcentral describes it as "partial 16S ribosomal RNA". It matches the Rfam family "Bacterial small subunit ribosomal RNA", at positions 29 to 507 of the family's 1533-position model. The record is from RNAcentral.
AAUGAACGCUGGCGGCAUGCCUAACACAUGCAAGUCGAACGAACGCACCGGCAGCUUUCUCCCCUGAGGUUGGCGCGGGACGGACGAGUAACACUUGGAUAGCAUACCUAUUAGACUGGGAUGAUAUCGGCGGACCAGUGCUAAUACCGGAAAAUAUAUUGAACGGCAUGGAUCAAUAGUGAAAGACGGUUUUGCUUGCGCUUAUAGCCGGAGCCGCGUCGGAUUAGCUACUGGGUAAAGGAACGGCUUACCAACACAACGAUGCGAAGCCGACCUGAGAGGGUGAUCGGCCACACGGGAACUGAGACACGGUCCCGACUCCUACGGGAGGCAGCAGUAGGGAAUCUUCCGCAAUGGGCGAAAGCGUGAUGGAGCAACACCGCGUGAGUGAUGAAGGUCUUCGGAUCGUAAAGCUCUGUUGUUAGGGAAGAAGAAAUGCGUAUGUAACCAUGCACGUAUUGACGGUACCUAAAGAAAAAGCCCCGGCUAACUACGUG